GUCCGAGCCAAAAUUUUAGGUCAGGUAACCGAAUCUUAAGUUCUCGUUCUACGACUGCCGUCGCUGCCUAUUUUCGGCGACUUUUCCACAGCUUCCAGGUUGCUGUAUUCCUGACAGCAUUGCUUCUUGUCUGCAUUUGAUAUGGCAAGGUUGGUGUGUUAACCUGAAGGAUUUUGUUAUUUUAGGUACUUUAUGAAAGGUGUCUCUAUGAUUAUAACAAGAGUCACAGGAGGUAAGUUUCAAUUUUCUUUGUUCUUUCUUUCUUCACCACCACCCCCCCCCCCCCCCCCCCCCCCCCCCCCCCGGGUGCGGGAAUUAUGAACUUGGGUGGAUAUUUGGUAGAAAAUGGCUCUAAAGUUCUGCACCCUUUGAUAUUAAUACAAGGGAACAGGGGAAGAACCUAAUCUUUUGAUUAUUGGUGGUAUUAAUUUAUGCCAUUCAGCAUGAGGUCCAACAAUAUUCAUUUUUUCUUUUUCACCAUAUUUUAGAUUCUUGAAUUCUAUGAUAAGACUAAAAAGUCUUUUGUUGAAUUUCUACACAUCAUACUUAGGGGAGAGCCCUAUAGCUUUUGGGUAUGUUACAUCUUCGAUGGACAGCUUGGAUCAAGUUUCUUAAUUUGCUUUGAUUUUUAGAUGCAUCCAACAUUAUGUUUUUUCAACAUGGUCCAAAGCAAAGAUGAUUAGGCUUUUAAUCAUACACAUUUCAAAGCAGUCUCAUUCAAAUAAGUAGACAAAAAAAGUGUUUCUUACCUCAUAGUGGGCACAACCAGAAAAGCUAUGUGUUUGGGAUAGGCUUGAUCAACAAUGUGAUAAAGGUGCCUCAAAGUGAUACCAACACUCGCAACAUAGGCAUGAGAUGGAUCUAUGGCAAGCAAUAGCUGGUGAAAGUAGAAUAAUCAAAUACCUUGAUCUUUCGAUGAUAAUAGUUCAUUGUAUCACAGAUGGGAUUUGCACUUCUCUUUUUAUAUUUCAGUUAUAUAACUAAAAGGGCAUAAAAAAUAUCACAAUGUGCUUUGCUGUUCUGUUAACUGUGACUGAGUCAGUAACUGAUUUGGACCACGUUGAAAUAGUGUAUUAAAUUAAAGGACUGCCUUUGUUUUGUAAAAGAAUGAGGAUGAAAUGGAUCGACUCGUUGAAGUUUGAGGACCAACAGAGGAAUUAAUCCUAAAUUUUUCCUCCUUUCUGAUUGAAAAAUAGUUAUGAUCAUUGUUGUCUUAAAUUUUGCUAGAAGUUUUUAAAUUUUGGUCAGAAAAUUCCAGAUUUUGGUCAACUUUGGAAGGAAUUAACAACAUUAACGUAUUUGCAGGAUUCCACCGAAAGAUUUCUGGAAAUUUUGGUAUGGUUCAUGUACUGCAGUGUUUUGGGUAUCUUGUUCUGUUUAAAAAAAAUCUAAAAACCCAAACUGAUUUGUAGCUGAUUUGCUGAUCUAGAAGCAAGCAUUUUUUUUCUUUUGAUAACCUGAGAAUUCCAGCCACCAUCGUGCCACUUUGGACACUAUAGUGCGGCACCAAAGGGUGAAAGCCGCCCGCCCAUUGAUGUUAUUUUAUGUUGGUUCUAUUGAAGAAUGUUAUUUUAUGUUGGUUCUAUAAAAAAUGUUCUUUUAUGUUGGUUAUAAAAAAUUCUGUGUGUUUUGUUUUGAUUUAAGAUACCAAUGCCUUUACAUUACUGAUGUAGAUGUUAUAUUUCAUGCAAAAUAUAUAAAAUUACUAUUCAUUUUCAUGCAUAUAAUGAUGAGUGAGUUGUCUUUCUGUCUUUUUUUUUUUUUUUGAAUUUUAACUCUAGUUUUGCUUUACUUCUUCCUUUAUUUUUUAUUUUUAUAAAUAAAUCCAUGGCAAACCACAAUUUAUACACCAUAAAUACUUCAGUCUUAUGAUAUGUGUUUUCUCAACCUUAUUUUUGUUCCAAAAUUUUCAAAAGAAAAUUUCCAUCAUUAGUAUGAGAUUCCACUAUGAAUUGGAAUUUAAAUUUAAUACCUUAAUUUUAAUUAAUGGUAAUGCAUCUAUAAUUUUGGGUAAUAAGGAGACAUAGCAUGAAGAGGCUGGAGAUGCUUGAAUAAUUGGAAUAUUGCUCGAGUAGUUGGAAUAUCUGAGAAUCAGAUUAUGACCAUCGAUAAUGAAUGACACUGCUUUAUAUUUUCCAGAGUUAUUGACUGUUGAUAAUUCAUUGCUCAAAUUUCAAUUUCCAUCAAUGCAAUGCAUCAUAAUGGGUCUCAGACAUUUGAUUCUGCCUAAACACUUUCUAAAGGACUGCCUUCUGUAUUCCUGUUUUAUAUUUAUAACCUGUUCAAUCUAUUUUCCUGAUUCACUGUGUAUUAGAGCUUCACGUUGAGAAAAUUUUCUCGUGAGGUUUAGACCAGUGAUAUAGCAAUACAGAGUUUCUGAAAUUCCUUUGAUCGUGAAAUGAUCACUUGGAAGAAGUCUUAAGACGAUGAUCACUCAGACAUGUGAAGACAAAUCUUUUGCUGAAUCACUUGAAUCCUUGGCACAUUCAAUGAGUGGUUCUUUCUAUUUUUAAUUAUAGGUUCAGCCCUUCUUUAUAAUAGUCAUUGUUAUAGCUUGAUAUACAAUUGUUGACCUGCAACUAACAGCUUAAACUUUUAGAUGUAUUGCUGAUCUACAGCGAAUGAGAGCCAUUGUUUUUUGCAUGUGCUCAGAUUGGUUUGCUUGUGUUUAUGGUUUAUUUAAAAUUAUAUUAUUCCCUAUGGUGGUUAUUCAUAAUUUUUUUUUUUAUAUCCACAUGCCAUCUGGCUGCAAGUGCUGGAGAGUAAAGCUUGAUAUAUAUUGCUAGCCAACAACCUAACUGCUUAGUCAAAAGAGUGAUCAACCCUUGGACAUCACUGAUGAGAGAUGGGAGCUUGAAAUCAUAGGCCUUUACAUGCUGCAGCCUAAUUUUUGAGUUCUUGUUAUCAUUAUAGCCUGGAUUUUAAGGUCCAUGUAGAAGUCAAGACUGGGUUGUAUAAUUCCCUCCGAAGAAGGCACAUGAGCCUAAACGAGUAAAAAUAGGUCUGCAAAUUAAUAAAUUCAAGAAUGCUAUUGGAUUUUUUGGCAUUGACCAACAAGAAUGAGAAGAACCUAGGGAUGUGUGUCCUGAGUUCAGAAGAUCUGCAAUCCAAAUAUUAAGCUUAACAUGUAGUUCGUGUGGAUAUAUGAGAAAAGAAAAGUGCAUAAGAGGGGAAGAAAACAUCUACGUCAAAAUAAGAUGAAUGAUUUGGUAAUGUACUUCUAAACCUAAAAGAAAGACAAGUCUGGCAGAAGCUGAUUUUAAAGCUUCAAAUAUGUGUUGUCCUGGUCGAUUAUGAAAGCACAACAGAACCCAAAUGAAAGAUGGUUGGAUGUUCUUGAUGGGGGAAUUUGUAAGCAAGCCUCCAAUGGUGAUGAAAGUUAGAAUCUUGGGAUGAUUGGAGAUUAUCACGACUUUACAAGAAGCACGUGGUUAAUGUUGGCACUCAAAAUUAAGAUGAAAUGGGAAUCCAUGAAGAUGAUGGUGAUGAUAAUGAAGCUGAUGAACAUAUAACUGAUUCUAGAAAUGAAGCAACCCUAAACCUUAAAUCCUAAACCCUAAACCUUCUACAUUUGAUGAUGAUGAGGUUAGACUGAUAUUGUUGAUUGGCUAGAUGAAGGCGUUGAUGAUAAUAUGGAAGAACUUAAUGUGUGCGGCUUAGAUUGUGAUUGAAGUAUUAAUAUAUUUUUUAGAUGUUAUGUAGCAUGAAACAAUUGCAAUUUGACAUUGAGUUUUAAGCGUGGAUAAUCUUGUUAGAUUUUAC
Long non-coding RNA from Malania oleifera, 3762 nucleotides. RefSeq lists it as uncharacterized. The transcript has 5 exons. NCBI's taxonomy places the organism in Eukaryota, Viridiplantae, Streptophyta, Magnoliopsida, Santalales, Ximeniaceae. The record is from RefSeq and is a predicted model, not a curated record.